ACGGGUGCGUAACGCGUGGGAAUCUGCCCUUAGGUUCGGAAUAACAGCUGGAAACGGCUGCUAAUACCGGAUGAUGACGAAAGUCCAGAGAUUUAUUGCCUGAGGAUGAGCCGCGUUGGAUUAGGUAGUUGGUGGGGUAAAGGCCUACCAAGCCGACGAUCCAUAGCUGGUCUGAGAGGAUGAUCAGCCACACUGGGACUGAGACACGGCCCAGACUCCUACGGGAGGCAGCAGUGGGGAAUAUUGGACAAUGGGCGAAAGCCUGAUCCAGCAAUGCCGCGUGAGUGAUGAAGGCCCUAGGGUUGUAAAGCUCUUUUACCCGGGAAGAUAAUGACUGUACCGGGAGAAUAAGCCCCGGCUAACUCCGUGCCAGCAGCCGCGGUAAUACGGAGGGGGCUAGCGUUGUUCGGAAUUACUGGGCGUAAAGCGCACGUAGGCGGCUUUGUAAGUCAGAGGUGAAAGCCUGGAGCUCAACUCCAGAACUGCCUUUGAGACUGCAUCGCUUGAAUCCAGGAGAGGUCAGUGGAAUUCCGAGUGUAGAGGUGAAAUUCGUAGA
Molecule: ribosomal RNA, 556 nt
Filed under: uncultured bacterium
Lineage: Bacteria
Description: bacterial SSU rRNA
Rfam family: Bacterial small subunit ribosomal RNA
Source: RNAcentral